GACGAACGCUGGCGGCGUGCUUAACACAUGCAAGUCGAACGAUGAAGCCGGAGCUUGCUCUGGUGAAUUAGUGGCGAACGGGUGAGUAACACGUGAGUAACCUGCCCUUGACUCUGGGAUAACUGCGGGAAACUGAAGCUAAUACCGGAUACGACCCUCGGAGGCAUCUCCUGGGGGUGGAAAGAAUUUCGGUCAAGGAUGGACUCGCGGCCUAUCAGCUAGUUGGUGAGGUAAAGGCUCACCAAGGCGACGACGGGUAGCCGGCCUGAGAGGGUGACCGGCCACACUGGGACUGAGACACGGCCCAGACUCCUACGGGAGGCAGCAGUGGGGAAUAUUGCACAAUGGGCGCAAGCCUGAUGCAGCAACGCCGCGUGAGGGAUGACGGCCUUCGGGUUGUAAACCUCUUUUAGCAGGGAGGAAGCGAAAGUGACGGUACCUGCAGAAAAAGCACCGGCUAACUACGUGCCAGCAGCCGCUGUAA
RNAcentral lists this ribosomal RNA (484 nucleotides) under uncultured bacterium. RNAcentral describes it as "partial 16S ribosomal RNA". It matches the Rfam family "Bacterial small subunit ribosomal RNA", at positions 28 to 523 of the family's 1533-position model. The record is from RNAcentral.